AGAGUUUGGAUCCUGGCUCAGGACGAACGCUGGCGGCGUGCUUAACACAUGCAAGUCGAACGCUGAAGCGGUGCUUGCACCGUGGAUGAGUGGCGAACGGGUGAGUAACACGUGGGUAAUCUGCCCUGCACUCUGGGAUAAGCCCUGGAAACGGGGUCUAAUACCGGAUAUGACAUCGUGCCGCAUGGUGUGGUGUGGAAAGCUCCGGCGGUGCAGGAUGAGCCCGCGGCCUAUCAGCUUGUUGGUGGGGUGAUGGCCUACCAAGGCGACGACGGGUAGCCGGCCUGAGAGGGUGACCGGCCACACUGGGACUGAGACACGGCCCAGACUCCUACGGGAGGCAGCAGUGGGGAAUCUUGCGCAAUGGGCGAAAGCCUGACGCAGCAACGCCGCGUGGGGGAUGACGGCCUUCGGGUUGUAAACCUCUUUCGACACCGACGAAGCCAUCUUCGGGUGGUGACGGUAGGUGUAGAAGAAGCACCGGCUAACUACGUG
Molecule: ribosomal RNA, 495 nt
Filed under: uncultured Saccharopolyspora sp.
Lineage: Bacteria; Bacillati; Actinomycetota; Actinomycetes; Pseudonocardiales; Pseudonocardiaceae
Description: bacterial SSU rRNA
Rfam family: Bacterial small subunit ribosomal RNA
Source: RNAcentral